This 304-nucleotide ribosomal RNA is filed under the name uncultured bacterium. RNAcentral describes it as "partial 16S ribosomal RNA". It matches the Rfam family "Bacterial small subunit ribosomal RNA", at positions 506 to 806 of the family's 1533-position model. The record is from RNAcentral.
CAGCAGUAGCCGCCACGGGAAUACGUAGGGUCCGAGCGUUGUCCGGAAUUAUUGGGCGUAAAGGGCUCGUAGGCGGUUUGUUGCGUCGGGAGUGAAAACCUACAGCUUAACUGUGGGCUUGCUUUCGAUACGGGCAGACUUGAGGCAUUCAGGGGAGAACGGAAUUCCUGGUGUAGCGGUGAAAUGCGCAGAUAUCAGGAGGAACACCGGUGGCGAAGGCGGUUCUCUGGGAAUGUUCUGACGCUGAGGAGCGAAAGUGUGGGGAGCGAACAGGAUUAGAUACCCGCGUAGUCCCUGUCUCUUU